CCUACGGGAGGCAGCAGUGAGGAAUAUUGGUCAAUGGGCGCAAGCCUGAACGAGCCAAGUCGCGUGAGGGAUGACGGUCCUAUGGAUUGUAAACCUCUUUUGUCGGGGAGCAAGGCCCGCCACGUGUGGCGGGAAGGAGAGUACCCGAAGAAAAAGCAUCGGCUAAUUCCGUGCCAGCAGCCGCGGUAAUACGGAGGAUGCGAGCGUUAUCCGGAUUUAUUGGGUUUAAAGGGUGCGUAGGUGGAAGGUUAAGGCAGCGGUAAAAUGUCGGUGCUCAACACCGGCCUGCCGUUGAAACUGGUCUUCUUGAGUGAGCGAGAAGUAUGCGGAAUGCGUGGUGUAGCGGUGAAAUGCAUAGAUAUCACGCAGAACUCCGAUUGCGAAGGCAGCAUACCGGCGCUCAACUGACGCUGAGGCACGAAAGCGUGGGGAUCGAACAGGAUUAGAUACCCGAGUAGUC
Molecule: ribosomal RNA, 460 nt
Filed under: uncultured bacterium
Lineage: Bacteria
Description: partial 16S ribosomal RNA
Rfam family: Bacterial small subunit ribosomal RNA
Source: RNAcentral